CGUGUUCAUCGGGCGGCCGCCUCUGCCUUGUGCAGGGGAGGAAAGUCCGAACUCCGCAGGGCAGGGUGCCGGAUAACGUCCGGGCGCCGAAAGGCGACGGAAAGUGCAACAGAAAAGACACCGCCCGUCCCGCGUCGCUUCGGCGACAAGGGAAAGGUAAGGGUGAAAUGGUGCGGUAAGAGCGCACCGGCAGUCUGGCAACAGGCUGGCCUGGCAAACCCCACCCGGAGCAAGACCGCGUAGGAAUGCCGUCUCCGGAACUGCGCUGCCCGUGCAGUGAACACAGCCACGCAUGACGCCACGCGUCAUGCCGAAGCGAUUGUCCCGGCAUUCGGGUAGGUCGCUCGAAUCCCGCGGCAACGCGGGAUCCAGAUAGAUGGCCGCCUCGUCCCGCUCCGCUCCGGCGGGCGGGAUAGACAGAAUUCGGCUUACAGAUGGACGCGGGCU
This 447-nucleotide RNase P RNA is filed under the name Bacteroidota bacterium. RNAcentral's name for it is "Bacteroidetes bacterium (sediment metagenome) RNase P RNA component class A". It matches the Rfam family "Bacterial RNase P class A". From Rfam's summary of the family: Ribonuclease P (RNase P) is a ubiquitous endoribonuclease, found in archaea, bacteria and eukarya as well as chloroplasts and mitochondria. The record is from RNAcentral. Lineage: Bacteria; Pseudomonadati; Bacteroidota.